AUCACUUCUCAGCCUUUUGGCUAAGAUCAAGUGUAGUAUUUAUAUAUAUUUAUUUAUAUAUAUAUACUUUAUAUAUAUAUAAUAUAUUUUAAAGCUAACCUAGUUCAGUAGAAAGCAGACUGCUACUGAUUCUAGGACAUUAG
Heterocephalus glaber (naked mole-rat) is the source of this 143-nucleotide small nuclear RNA. Its record names the gene U2. It matches the Rfam family "U2 spliceosomal RNA". From Rfam's summary of the family: U2 is a small nuclear RNA (snRNA) component of the spliceosome (involved in pre-mRNA splicing). Complementary binding between U2 snRNA (in an area lying towards the 5' end but 3' to hairpin I) and the branchpoint sequence (BPS) of the intron results the bulging out of an unpaired adenosine, on the BPS, which initiates a nucleophilic attack at the intronic 5' splice site, thus starting the first of two transesterification reactions that mediate splicing. NCBI's taxonomy places the organism in Eukaryota, Metazoa, Chordata, Mammalia, Rodentia, Bathyergidae. The record is from Ensembl.